AUUUUAGAGAGAGAAGCUCUGCCUUCUCUCUAACUUUUCCUGCUUCAUCUUCUUCUUCUCUGCUACCUCUGCGCAUGUAGGUUAACCUGCGCUGUGGGUGCUAUGGCGAGAGGGAGAGGCCGACCUAAGAAAGUUCUGGUGCCAAUUUAUGCAAACGUCAUUGUUUUCCCAAAAUCUGUUAAUACUGUGCCACAGGUGGUUAACACUGUUCCAUUGAAGCCCACAGAAGAUACUGUUUCAUUGCCUCAAGCAUCUGUAGAUUUGCAACCAUCUGGAGUUCCCGUGCUACUAACAGCAACUGAGAAUGUUGAUAAAACUGUUCCAUUGAAGCCCUCUGAAGAUACUGUUUCAUUGCCUCAUGCAUCUGUAGAUUUGCAACCAUCUGGAUGUCCCGUGCUACUAACAGCAACUGAGAA
Molecule: long non-coding RNA, 416 nt
Filed under: Nicotiana benthamiana
Lineage: Eukaryota; Viridiplantae; Streptophyta; Magnoliopsida; Solanales; Solanaceae
Description: long non-coding RNA (NBEN_LNC013555)
Source: RNAcentral